AUGUACCACUCGUACACCCCGGUUCCUGCGCGCUGGCCACGCCCACCCGACGACUGCUCGCCACGUGUUGUCGGCC
This 76-nucleotide small RNA is filed under the name Xanthomonas arboricola. RNAcentral's name for it is "sRNA sX9". It matches the Rfam family "Xanthomonas sRNA sX9". RNAcentral also lists the same sequence under 2 other names. The record is from RNAcentral. Lineage: Bacteria; Pseudomonadati; Pseudomonadota; Gammaproteobacteria; Lysobacterales; Lysobacteraceae.